Molecule: ribosomal RNA, 450 nt
Filed under: uncultured bacterium
Lineage: Bacteria
Description: partial 16S ribosomal RNA
Rfam family: Bacterial small subunit ribosomal RNA
Source: RNAcentral
CCUACGGGUGGCUGCAGUGGGGAAUAUUGGACAAUGGGGGCAACCCUGAUCCAGCCAUGCCGCGUGUGUGAAGGAGGCCGUCGGGUUGUAAAGCACUUUAAGCGGGGAGGAAGGCCUUGAGACUAAUACUCUUGAGGAUUGACGUUACCCGCAGAAUAAGCACCGGCUAACUCUGUGCCAGCAGCCGCGGUAAUACAGAGGGUGCAAGCGUUAAUCGGAAUUACUGUGGGCGAAGCGUUAAGAGGCGGGUGAAAUCCCCGGGCUCAACCUGGGCACGGCAUCCGAUACUGGCUGACUAGAGUGUGGGAGAGGAAGGUAGAAUUCCAGGUGUAGCGGUGAAAUGCGUAGAGAUCUGGAGGAAUACCGAUGGCGAAGGCAGCCUUCUGGCCUAACACUGACGCUGAGGUGCGAAAGCAUGGGGAGCAAACAGGAUUAGAUACCCUUGUAGUC